AGAUGAUACCUGGCCUGAUUAGCUAGUUGGUGAGGUAAAGGCCUACCAAGGCGACGAUCAGUAGCCGGCCUGAGAGGGUGUACGGCCACAAUGGAACUGAGACACGGUCCAUACUCCUACGGGAGGCAGCAGGUUAAGA
Molecule: ribosomal RNA, 139 nt
Filed under: uncultured Leptospira sp.
Lineage: Bacteria; Pseudomonadati; Spirochaetota; Leptospiria; Leptospirales; Leptospiraceae
Description: partial 16S ribosomal RNA
Rfam family: Bacterial small subunit ribosomal RNA
Source: RNAcentral